GACGAACGCUGGCGGCGUGCUUAACACAUGCAAGUCGAACGGAAAGACCCUGCUUUUGUGGGGUGCUCGAGUGGCGAACGGGUGAGUAACACGUGAGUAACCUGCCCUUGACUUUGGGAUAACUUCAGGAAACUGGGGCUAAUACCGGAUAGGAGCUCCUGCUGCAUGGUGGGGGUUGGAAAGUUUCGGCGGUUGGGGAUGGACUCGCGGCUUAUCAGCUUGUUGGUGGGGUAGUGGCUUACCAAGGCUUUGACGGGUAGCCGGCCUGGGAGGGUGACCGGCCACAUUGGGACUGAGAUACGGCCCAGACUCCUACGGGAGGCAGCAGGGGGGAAUAUGGCACAAUGGGCGGAAGCCUGAUGCAGCAACGCCGCGUGCGGGAUGACGGCCUUCGGGUUGUAAACCGCUUUCGCCUGUGACGAAGCGUGAGUGACGGUAAUGGGUAAAGAAGCACCGGCUAACUACGUG
This 468-nucleotide ribosomal RNA is filed under the name uncultured bacterium. Its description in RNAcentral is "partial 16S ribosomal RNA". It matches the Rfam family "Bacterial small subunit ribosomal RNA", at positions 28 to 507 of the family's 1533-position model. The record is from RNAcentral.